AACGAACGCUGGCGGCAUGCCUAACACAUGCAAGUCGAACGAGACCUUCGGGUCUAGUGGCGCACGGGUGCGUAACGCGUGGGAACCUGCCCUUAGGUUCGGAAUAACUCCCCGAAAGGGGUGCUAAUACCGGAUAAUGUCUUCGGACCAAAGAUUUAUCGCCUUUGGAUGGGCCCUCGUUGGAUUAGCUAGUUGGUAGGGUAAAAGCCUACCAAGGCGACGAUCCAUAGCUGGUCUGAGAGGAUGAUCAGCCACACUGGGACUGAGACGCGGCCCAGACUCCUACGGGAGGCAGCAGUGGGUAAUAUUGGACAGUGGGGGAAAGGCUGAUCCAGCAAUGCCGCGUGAGUGAUGAAGGCCUUAGGGUUGUAAAGCUCUUUUACCCGGGAUGAUAAUGACAGUACCGGGAGAAUAAGCUCCGGCUAACUCCGUG
Molecule: ribosomal RNA, 433 nt
Filed under: uncultured bacterium
Lineage: Bacteria
Description: partial 16S ribosomal RNA
Rfam family: Bacterial small subunit ribosomal RNA
Source: RNAcentral